This 9953-nucleotide long non-coding RNA is filed under the name Eucalyptus grandis. RNAcentral's name for it is "long non-coding RNA (EGRA_LNC002834)". Lineage: Eukaryota; Viridiplantae; Streptophyta; Magnoliopsida; Myrtales; Myrtaceae. The record is from RNAcentral.
AGCAAGUUCAACCCAUCUUGGGCCCGUGAAGCAAGUCGGCCCAAGUUCGGCCCAAGCCCAGCAAUUUGCUGUGGGCUUGUAAGGCCUUUGGGCCCACCCGAGUGAUCGUCGACGUCGCCGAAAAUUCGGAUUUCGGCCGCCGUCGCGUCGCCAUCGCGGUGUCCCGGUUCCCGUUUUUAAUCAAGUGAGUAAUCUCACUAAUCCUUGCUUAGUAGACUAAUGAUGCUUAAGGGUUGAUUAGAUUUAAUUAAGUGCAAUUAGGUGGUUAGAUUAGCAUGGAUUAUUGAUUAUUAGUUAAUUGCAUUGCAUAUUAGUUAAGUUAGUGUACUUAGCUAGAGAAUUGCCUAUACUAUUUAUUGACUGCAUCUUGGGAUUUUUCCCGACCUUUAUUGGGCUUCAAUUAGGCAUUACGGGCCUAAAUUGGAUUUUAGUAUUUAUUUAUUAAUUUUCGAAAUUAAUUAUUUAAUUAUUUAUUUUUCGAAAAUUAGGCAAGGAUAGCCGACGACCAGAAUUUCGUGUUGAUUGUCAUGGAGCAGUCCAUUUAUUUAUUUGAGCUUUAAUUUGUGUCAAAUUGAUUUAAUGAUGCAUUUUUAAGUUAGGUUCUUAAAUAAUGCAAUUUUGCCUAUGUGAUUGAGGUUUGGUCGAGUAUCGGUUGUUAGUAUCGAAAGUGAGUUGGUAAAUCACCCGGAGAAUGCACGUGACCCAGUGAAUUGGAGUGUCACCUGGGAAUGACACGUAGCUCGGUGAUUGGAUAUGUCACCUUGGCGAAAAGGUAGCCUUAGAGAAUGUACGUGGCUCGGAGACUCAGUAUGUCUUCCUGGAGAAUGCACGUGGCUUAGUGACAGAGUACGACAUCGUAAAAAGGGUCGGGUGGUACCAUAAAGCCACUAGAUCUUGAAAGGGUCGGGUGGGACCAUAAAGCCACUAGAUCUUGAAAGGGUCGGGUGGGACCGUAAAGCCAUUAAAUCUUGGAAAGGUCGGGUGGGACCAUAAAGUCAUUGAAUAUUGAGAAGGUCGGGUGGGACCGUAAAGCCACUAAAUCUAAAAAAGUUGCUUGGUGGGGCCGUGAUUACCGGCUAUAAAUGAGUUGUGUCCUAAGGAUCGUGAUUCAUAUUUGGGAAUUGAAUUGGAAUAAUUGAAAUGACUGGAAGUGGGCUUUUUGGUAUGUAAUCAACUAGAUCGAUUGAUCAUUGCUUUGAUAUGAUGUUGUGAAUUGAUUGAUUUAAUGUAAAUGACUGGUGAAUGGUCGAAUUGACAUGAAAUUGAUUAGGUCGAUUAAUCGAGAUAUCGAUCCGUGAUGUGAUUGCUUGGGUGCCUAUUGAAUUGUGCUAAUAUGCAGGUAGAAUCUGAGACCAAGAUAAGUCCUCUGACCCUUGCGUGUAUAGGCAGCCCGGUUAGUGUAUUAGUUUCCUAAUCGAGUCUGAGUGGGGUAGAACUUGCUGAGACAUAGUCUCAUCCCAGUUGUGGGACAACAUUUCAGGCUCGUAGAUGAGCCUGUGAAGAAGGAACCAGAAGAGGACGAUGAGCCGGUAAAAGAUGAAGAGGUUGAACGAUGUGAGCUUAGUGAAGAAGAGUCAGAAGAGGAUUAGGAUGAUCCUGAGUUCGACCCGGAUGAGGAUUGAGAUCCCAUCCUCUUUUGUGAACCUUGUGUUAUGUAUAUAGAGUGUGACUAGAAUGUUAUGAAUAGUCUUGUGAAUAGACUUUAAGUUAUGCCAUGUAUAAAGGUUCGGUUGUGAAUUUCAAUAUGAAAAAUAUGGCCUUACUUUUCUAUCCCAUUGUGUUAUUGUCUGGGGAUUUACAACUGCUUCCGCAUGUGCUUAAUAAACAAAAGGGUCGGUGAUACUUAGUCCUAGGAUAUCGCAUUAUAAAAUCGACCAAGUAGAAGGAUGUGUGCGUGCCCAAGGAUCGGGCCGUGACAAUAAGAGAUAGGUUGGUCAGCAUUUUGGCCAGUAGGUCCAGUCACUUGAUAGACAGCUGCUAUUUUUUUCUCCUUGUCUUCGGGCUUUCCAUGUAAUUUCCAACAGCUGCUAUUUUUUUCUCCUUGUCUUCGGGCUUUCCAUGUAAUUUCCAACAGCUGCUAUUUUUUUCUCCUUCUCUUCGGGCUUUCCAUGUAAUUUCCAACAGCUGUCAAUCAUAUGGUUAGAAUGCUUGCAAUAAUCGUAAAACAUUUUACCUUUUGCCUUAAAAGUGGGUCGGAAAUUCUUUGAUGACAUGGCAUAUAUCUGGCCGUCCACUCCUUUAGUCGCGGAGUCAUAUCCAUCUGCGCCUUCAGAGCUAAGAAGAUCGUUCGAUUCGUGUCCACGAUCCGGUUCGUCCAAUCCGCGCCCACGAUCUGGACCGUUAGAUCCUCGCAUCAAAUCCCGGCCGUUCAUCUGUCUCUUUUAAAGAAGUGAGCGACGUCUCCUCCUCUAAACCCUACUGCGCCUAUUCUGUCUCUCUCUUGAUUUAGGGUUUUUAUAGAUCCAUCUCUGCGUUCGCCGUGGGCUGCGAGGGCGAUGUUGUCGCCGUUCCUCGCAUGUUCCGGCGACGCGAGUCAUUGGCUCUCCUCCUGCACAGCCAACUGGUAGAUUCGUCCAAUCAGAGGGACAUGAUCCAUGGCCAGGAUCUGUGAACGAAAGGUAAAGUAAGUCUCGUUCAAAAUUAGUAAGAAAUGUGUAGCCUUUUCCCUUUCUUUGAUGGAACAAUACUGCUUUAAUGUGGAUUCUGGUCCCUUCAGCUUUUCCUCGAUCGCUUCUAGCUGGUUCCAUAAAGACGAUAACUUGUUGAAACAAGCCGUGACCGUCAUAUUCCCCUGUUUGAGAUUGCUUAAUUCCUACAUGAGUGAAUUUUUUUUGGCACGAUCGAGUUUGCCGUACAUUUCUUUAAUAUUCUCCCACAUCCUUUGAGCGUCUUCUAUGGGUGGAAGUCCGACCGCGACUUCUGGAGAAAUGCAAUUGCCGAUCCAAGUUCGGACAAGCUUAUUGCAUUUCCUCCAGUGUGGUGCUAGACGCUCGUUUGAAGGAAUAGCGAUGGUUCCAUCGAGGAAUCCAUCUUUGUCCUUUGUCACCAUCGCACGUCGGAAUUCCUGCGACCACUUGGAGUAAUUUUCGUACCCGGUAAGUUGCUGGCUGAUUAACUUCAAUUCAGGUCCGUCGGCGGUGGAAAGUGUCACGCCCUGAUCCUCCGAGCGCGCGACCAUCCCACUUUGGUCGAUACAAAUGCGACUUCCCAGGACAUGUCGCCGACCCAUUCAUUUUUAUUGCACAUGCGGAAGCGAAACAAAUCCCCUGACAACAUCUAACUUGGGAUAGAAAAGCAGGCAAUCAAUCACAACCAAACAAGCUUUCUAUAAACACAUAGGUUUAUAUACAACACUGGAUGGUCUACAAAAUAGAUAGGCUCAACAACUAGGGAACUAUCCUAUGACCAACUUGUCAGACACGUUCGCCGAUUCUUCAGCCUCCACCUUCCGAACUCCAGGACUUCCGGUCCUCCACGACCGUCAUCUAGAGACCUGAAAUAUUAUCCCACAACCGGGAUGAGACUAUGUCUCAGCGAGUCCUACCAUUUAAAACUCAAUUAGGGAGAAAAUACGCCUCAGGGCGCUCUAGCCACACAAAUAGGAUAUAUGACUUACCUCUCCUCAGUCCCUUUCCUGCACGUCAGUACAAUUCAUAUUCAAACAAUGCUCGCACAAGCUGAAACUACCGACACACCCAUCGGUCUAUCAAUUCAAUCAAUCCAAUUGAUAUCAUACGAUCCACAUAUCUAUCAAUUCAUACCAUCUAUUAAACCAUACCAUCUAUUCAUCCAUCAAUACAUUCACGGCUCACACAAGCUGAAAUGGAUGCAAUGCUCUCACAAGCUGAUAUAGAUGGUAGCUCGCACAAGCUGAUAUAUACAUAGAUGGUAGCUCACACAAGCUGAUAGAUAGAUCAUGCUCGCACAAGCUGAUAAAACGAUCUUAGCUCACCAGAAGCUGCCGCAAUAUUCAAUAUAGUAUACUAUAGCUCACCAGAAGCUACCGCAAUAUUCAAUACAGUAUACUAUAGCUCACCAGAAACUGCCGCAAUAUAUGUAUAUUAUAAUUGCUCGCCCAAGCUGAUACAUAUAUAUAAACAAAUGCUCGCCAAAAGUGAUCAUUCAAUAAUAAACCAUAGAACUGGAUAUUCAAUCCAAUAACAACCAACGAUUCAAACUAGUCAUACAAAUCAAUUACGGUGCUAAAAGCCAACACCGGGUAUUUUCAAGUUAAAUACCACAACUUCAUCAAUUUCACACAAUUCCACACUUUUGGAAUUAUUAACCAUAAUCAUCAAUCACUCAAUUUCUCAAUUUAAACAUACAAUUAACAGAAACCGACCGCACUGCUGCGAUCAGCGCGAAAUUCUAACGACCGGCCAUCCCGGCAUAAUUUUCGAAAUUAUUAAAUAAUUAAAUAUUAUAUUAUAACAAUAUAAUUUAAUAAAAUAAUAUUUAAAAAUUCGAAAUAAUUAAUUAAUUAAAAAUAAUUAAUUAGGGCUUAAACAAGAUUACACUGAUUUAAUCAUACAAUUAGCCCUAAUUAAACAUCCAUUAAACUAAGCAUACAACUAAUCUAAUUUACAUUAAAAUAAUCUAAUUUAAUCACAUAAACCUAAUUAGACUAAUCUAAACACACCUUAAGCGUCAUUAACUCACUAAGCAAGAAUUAGAGGAUAAACUCACCCGAUUAACGAUCUGAACGGUUCAAAACGACAAGGACGACGCGAGGGUCGAUAGUCUCCAAGGCGGGCCUAGCUUCCGGGGUUGGGAAGCCGGCCAAAACGGGCCAAAUAGCCGCUGUCAUACCCAUUUUUCAACUCACUGAUCGCUGCUGGUUGAGGGCGGAUCCGGCACCGGUUGAGGCGCACAAGGGCCAAGAUGGACGGAGGAGACCAAACCGGACCUAGGCGGGGCUCCACGGAGGUCGGAGGGAGCUCCGGCGGUGGCUCACGGUGCUGGACAGCAGCUCUAGACGCACACUAGACAGGAACGACUGCUGAAAUGGCGGGCUUGGCGUGCGUGGACGGCGGGUGUCGCGAGUGGUGGACGGUGGCAAGCGGGGCGCGACGGCGGUCCAACUGGACUGCUGGCUGCUCCGGCAUCUUCCCAGAUCUGCUGGGACACGAGCAUCAACUGGAGAUGGAGAAGAGAGGGCUUCGACUACGGCUGAAGAGGGAGAGGGAGCCGGUUGCGCGCGGUGAGGCGUGGGACUACGACGGCGUGUAGCGGCGGCGAUCGACGACGGGCGGAGCUGCUCUGGUUCGCUGGUCUUCAGCUUCUUUGGCUUGCUGCGUUCUUCGAGCAACAAGAAGAAGAUGGAGGGGAGGUCUCGACGGAGGAGAGAGAGAGAGAACCGGUUUCUCUCUCUUUCUCUUUCUCUUUCUCUUUCUCUUUCUUUUUCUCUUUCUCUUUCUCUCUCUCUUUUUGGCCCCACCAUGACAUCACAGAUGAUGUCACCUUCCACUAUCUCCCACAACCUCAUUCCAAUGGUUGCAAUUUCAUUUUCCGCCAUGGCAUAAAAUCUUGUACACUUAAUUCAAUCAAUUCUCAAUCAAUUCCAUCCAAUUGAAGCUCAAUUAAAUUAACCCAUGUGUCCUUGGCCUUCUCACGACAUUUCCCCAUCAAAUGAUCAAACUUGCAUCCCGAUGAUUCAAUUAAAAACGACCCUCUGACAAUCCCGAACAUAAACGGCCUUACUUUGCUUUUCUGCCAAAAAUCUCGGUUUGUAGAAAAAUCUUCUGGAGAUGAGUCGACGUUCCUAAAAUGAAUUGUGACUUGACAGAACUUCCAAUUUCUGUAAUCGGGUUCAAUUUCACAGUUAAAUUCAAUCUGGCACGACUUUAGCGCGUCCUAAUCUACCGGGUAGCUUUUAGGAAUUUUCUGUGCAAUUGAUCUGUGGUUGAUUAUUUUCAAGCCACAAAGUGCAUCUUCGACACAUUGGCGACUCUUGAUUGUCGUAGAAAUCUCGAGGUUUCAAAUACGGACACAGGGUACCAAAACGAUAGAGAAAUCGGUCUAGUGCCGAUCAACAAGAAUUGUGCAAUUAGAUGGAAUCACCCAUACUGAAUUACAUGGUUCUGUUGAAUCGACCUAUCUCCGGUCUCUAAUCGGUUUGUGCCGUAAUGACCCUUGCAGAUUAGUACGGUCGAGCAGUCGUUUCCUGGUCGAAUUUUCAAGUCUAUUGCGUUUAGAUUCCUUAACGGCUUCACCUGAUAGACCAGUUAUCUCGUGAGUGAUCAGCUCAGAGAAGAAAGCUAUAGACACGAAGAUGAAAUGCCCGACUUAUUUAAUUGAAACCAGAAUUGGAAAAUCGGGAUGUCACAGAAAGAAACAGGGGGUUGCCGGAUUCUGGCCGUCCGAUGAAAAUUGAUCCUAAAAACGACAAAAAUCCGGGUGAGAAGCCCCGGUAGGGAUUCGCUCCUAUACCCAGAUUCGAACCGGCUCCAUAACCCACAUUGAAACUGGUCGGGUAUGGGUUUCCUCCAUUACCCGAACCGUUGGAUCCAUCUGUGUGACAUCCCAGAUUUUCAACCCUGUCUUCUACUGAGUAAAUCGAGCAUUUCAUUGACACGUCUAUAGGGCUAUUCUCAGAACUGAUUACUCUCGAGAUAACUAGACUAGCUGGGAAAGCUAUUUCGGACUUUAAAACAAAUGGACUUGAGAAUUCGAUCAAGAAUCGGCUUCUCGACGUGCUUAUCUUUAAAGGCCAUUACGGCACAGUUAAAAAAAAAAUCGAUUUGUGAUCAAAGAUAGGUCUAUUCGACUGAGUUGUGUGACCAAUCGUGGGUGACUCCACUAAAUUGGAAAAUUCUCAUCGAUCGAUACUAAUAUGAUUUUACUGUCAUUUUGGUACCAUGUGUCCAUAAUUGAAUCCUUGAGAUUUUCACAACAAUCGAGAGUCGCCAUUGAAUCGAGUGGGUUCAUAGUAGUUCGAAGAAAAUCAACCAUGGGUCAUUUGCCUUAAAAAGUUAUGAAAGCCACUCGGUAGUCUAGGUCACGCUAAAAACACGUCAAAUGGAAAUUAACUGCCGAUUCGAGUCCGAAUUCAGAAAUUGAAGGUUCUGUCAUGUCACAAUAAAUUCUAGGACCCACGACUUAGUCUCAGAAGAUUUUUCUGACAACCGAGACUUUUUGGGAAAAAGUCAGUUUAGGGCUGUUUUCGUUCAGUUGAAGCCGGGGGAUUAAUUCUGGUUGCGGAAUUGAAGAGCUUGAGGAAUUCUUGGAUGAAGAAAAAUAACCAUUGAGACAUUGGGACAUCAAUUCAAUUUAUGUGAGUCAAUUGAGAGAGAAUCAAGAGGGAGUUGAUGAACAAUUGAAGCCAAGGAAAGCCAAUUUCGUAACUCCCCUCCCCCUAGCCCAAAAUUGACCAAUUGAGAAGUGGUGAGGGGUGUAUGUGUGGGUGAUUGUGAGCCAAGGAUGAUACUUGGCCAAGAUUGAGUUAGACUUGUGGAAAAUAUCAAGCCAAAGGGUCCCUCACUGAUCUCUCACUUAUCUCUAAUAUCUCUCCCUCACCCCACCCCAUCGUUCAUCUCCAUCCUCUCCCUCUCGACUUCUUCCUUUCUGCCCUGUUCCACUUUCAUUUUUUCGGUUGACAACAUGCAGCUCUUCCCUUUGAAAGCUGAAGUCCACGUCUCUUUGCCCCACCGUUCUUGCCAGCCACACGCCAACCCCCACUACCGUUGGUCCCCUUCGAUCCCAUCUCCUCUCUUUGUGUCUUCUUCGGUCAGAAUUUCCCCAGCUAAGACCACGGAUCUCCAUGGUUGCUGCCACAUGUCCAUGAAAAACCUCUCUUCGGUCAAGCUUCUUCUCCAGUGAGGCGUGGUUGACCGAAGCUGUCAGCGGACGCCCUCCUUCUCCACCGAGUUUUGUCGGCCACCGAAACAGCUUCAACUUAAUCCACCGAAGCUUCAAUCAACAUCCUUGCAAGCAGAACUCCUUUGUUGACCGUUCCCCCACUCGUCCAACAGCAAGUGUGCCCACCAUCACUUGUUUUCUUCCACCGAGCGUCCAGCAUCUUCGUCCGUGUCUAUCGCACGAAGCAGCCCCACUCUUCGUGCCUUCAGCUCCCUCGGUCGAAGACCCCAACGAAGCCAGCCGUGAAUUUCAGCUUCUUCAGAUCGUGGGCUUUGCUGCUCCUCUUGCACGUGAAGUUCAGCCCACUUGAAGCCUGCAUCAAUUCAGCCCAUGAUUAGCCCAUUGAAGACCAGACCCAUAAAUUGAGUCUUCAGCCCCUCUUGAAGCCCAUUUUGCAGCCCAAGCCUGCAAAGCAAGUCAGCCCAAGCUCAGGCCCAAGUUCAGUUCAAGCCCAGAAAUUUAUGCGGGCUUGCGAGGCUUUUGAGCCCAGCCCGAGUGUCCGCCGACACCGCCGGAAGUUUGGAUUUCGGUCGCCAUCGCGGUGUUCCAGUAUUCGCUUUGCACAAGUGAGUAAUCUCACUAAUCCUUGCUUAGUAGACUAAUUAUGCAUAAGGGUUGAUUAGAUUUAAUUAAGUGCAAUUAGGUGGUUAGAUUAGAAUGGAUUAGUGAAUAUUAGUUAAUUGCAUUGCAUAUUAGCUAGGUGGUUAGUGUACUUAGCUAAAGAACUGCCUAUACUAUUUAUUGAAUGCAUCUCAGGAUUUUUCCCAACCCUUAUCGAGCUUCAAUUAGGCAUUACAGGCCUAAAUUGGAUUUUUUUAGUAUUUAAUUAUUAAUUUUCGAAGUUAAUUAAUUAAUUAUUUAUUUUGGAAAAUUAGGCUGCGAUAGCCAACAACCGGAAUUUCGUGCUAAUUGCAGUGGUGCUCUCUGUUUAUUUAAUUGAGUACUUGGUUGUGCAAAUUGAGUGCAAAUAGUAGUUGUGGGUAUUUAUUUCAGAAAUUGGAUAACUUUGGUAAUUGAGUGGAAAAUUCCCGAGCGUCGGUCUACAGCGUCAAAAAUCUAUUUUUGUACUAUUGAAAUGAGUGGGUGAAUAAAAAGGAAAUUAUUGUAUUUUAGCUAAGGCCGACCAUGUACCCACACACAUGUACUUUUAUCAAAUAUGAUGAAAAGGGUAAAAUUGAUUGUGUAUUCAGAACCAAAAAAAAAAAAUAAUACUAUAACGGCUUGAUGAUUCGUAUGUCAUCUGGAGAAUGGACGUUAUACUAUUACAGCUCGAUGACUCUCAUGUCAUUUUGAGAAAGAAUUGCUUGUAUACCGGCUCAAUGACCCUAUAGGUCAUCUUGGAGAAUGGACAGUAUUAAAUGUCGGCUCGGUGAUUCUAUAGAUUAUCUUAGAGAAUGGACGACAUGCCAUAACGGCUCGGUGACUCAACAUGUCAUCUUGGAGAAUGUAAGUUAUCAUGAAUAUGCUCGGUGACUCUAUAUGUCAUCUCGGAGAAUGAAUAUUAUAAUAUAUUAGCUUGGUAACUCAAUAGGUUAUCUUGGAGAAUGAAUAAUAUGUUAUAGUGACUUGGUGACUUAGUGUGUCAUCUCGGAGAAUGAAUCGUAUAAUAUACUGGCUUGGUUACCCGAUGGGUUAUUUUAGAGAAUGGACAGUAUUGAUUGAAAUGACCAAGAAUGGUCCGUUUGAUAUAUAAUCGACUAGGUCGAUUGAUCGAGAUAUCGAUCUGUGAUGUGACUGCUUGGGUGCCUAUUGAACUGUGCUAAUAUGCAGGUGGAAUCUAAGGCCAAGGUAAGUCCUCUGACCCGUGCAUGCAUAGGCAGCUCGGAUAGCGUAUUGGUUUCCUAAUCAAGUCUUAGUGGGGUAGAACUUGCUGAGACGUAGUCUCAUCCCGGUUGUGGGAUAUCAUUUCAGGCCCGUAGAUGAGCCUGUGGAGGAGGAACCAGAAGAGGACAAUGAGCCAGAAAAAGAUGAAGAGCUUGAAGGAUGUGAGCUUAGUGAAGAAGAGUCAGAAGAGGAUCAUGAUGAUCCUGAGUAUGACCCGAAUGAGGACUGAGAUCCCAUCCUGUCUUGUCAGACCUUGUUUGCAUGUGAAUAGA